Molecule: ribosomal RNA, 449 nt
Filed under: Streptococcus sp. oral taxon 058
Lineage: Bacteria; Bacillati; Bacillota; Bacilli; Lactobacillales; Streptococcaceae
Description: bacterial SSU rRNA
Rfam family: Bacterial small subunit ribosomal RNA
Source: RNAcentral
GACGAACGCUGGCGGCGUGCCUAAUACAUGCAAGUAGAACGCUGAAGGAGGAGCUUGCUUCUCUGGAUGAGUUGCGAACGGGUGAGUAACGCGUAGGUAACCUGCCUGGUAGCGGGGGAUAACUAUUGGAAACGAUAGCUAAUACCGCAUAAUAUUGACUAUUGCAUGAUAGCCAGUUGAAAGGUGCAACUGCACCACUACCAGAUGGACCUGCGUUGUAUUAGCUAGUUGGUGGGGUAACGGCUCACCAAGGCGACGAUACAUAGCCGACCUGAGAGGGUGAUCGGCCACACUGGGACUGAGACACGGCCCAGACUCCUACGGGAGGCAGCAGUAGGGAAUCUUCGGCAAUGGACGGAAGUCUGACCGAGCAACGCCGCGUGAGUGAAGAAGGUUUUCGGAUCGUAAAGCUCUGUUGUAAGAGAAGAACGAGUGUGAGAACUGAAAAG